AUUGAACGCUGGCGGCAGGCCUAACACAUGCAAGUCGAGCGGAUGAAGGGAGCUUGCUCCUGGAUUCAGCGGCGGACGGGUGAGUAAUGCCUAGGAAUCUGCCUGGUAGUGGGGGAUAACGUCCGGAAACGGGCGCUAAUACCGCAUACGUCCUGAGGGAGAAAGUGGGGGAUCUUCGGACCUCACGCUCUCAGAUGAGCCUAGGUCGGAUUAGCUAGUUGGUGGGGUAAAGGCCUACCAAGGCGACGAUCCGUAACUGGUCUGAGAGGAUGAUCAGUCACACUGGAACGGAGACACGGUCCUGACUCCUACGGGAGGGAGCAGUGGGGAAUAUUGGACAAUGGGCGAAAGCCUGAUCCAGCCAUGCCGCGUGUGUGAAAAAGGUCUUCGGAUUGUAAAGCACUUUAAGUUGGGAGGAAGGGCAGUAAGUUAAUACCUUGCUGUUUUGACGUUACCAACAGAAUAAGCACCGGCUAACUUCGUG
Molecule: ribosomal RNA, 484 nt
Filed under: uncultured bacterium
Lineage: Bacteria
Description: partial 16S ribosomal RNA
Rfam family: Bacterial small subunit ribosomal RNA
Source: RNAcentral